AAACUGAGGCCCUGAGCAGGUCCUGUGAGGAGUGAGAACCUGCAACCCUGUGUUGGUGGAAGGGGGAGAGUGUAUUUCCUGGGUUGGCCUGAGGAGGAGGUGAGGGGCUGGAGUGGUUAAGAGCACUUUCUGAUCUUCCAGAGGACCAGUUCCAGAGGACCAGUUCCUAGCACCCACAUCAGGCUUUUCACAACUGCAAGUAACUCCAGCUUCGAGGGAUCCAACAUCCUCUUCUGGCCUCAGUGCCCACUGCACUUACUUAUAUGUAGGCAUGAAUAUACACAGGCACACAUACAGAGAGCUUAA
RNAcentral lists this long non-coding RNA (306 nucleotides) under Mus pahari (shrew mouse). RNAcentral describes it as "lncRNA (MGP_PahariEiJ_G0005053.1)". The record is from RNAcentral. Lineage: Eukaryota; Metazoa; Chordata; Mammalia; Rodentia; Muridae.